Molecule: ribosomal RNA, 580 nt
Filed under: uncultured bacterium
Lineage: Bacteria
Description: partial 16S ribosomal RNA
Rfam family: Bacterial small subunit ribosomal RNA
Source: RNAcentral
UGGGGAAUUUUGGACAAUGGGCGAAAGCCUGAUCCAGCAAUGCCGCGUGUGUGAAGAAGGCCUUCGGGUUGUAAAGCACUUUUGUCCGGAAAGAAAUCCUUGGCUCUAAUACAGUCGGGGGAUGACGGUACCGGAAGAAUAAGCACCGGCUAACUACGUGCCAGCAGCCGCGGUAAUACGUAGGGUGCAAGCGUUAAUCGGAAUUACUGGGCGUAAAGCGUGCGCAGGCGGUUUGCUAAGACCGAUGUGAAAUCCCCGGGCUCAACCUGGGAACUGCAUUGGUGACUGGCAGGCUAGAGUAUGGCAGAGGGGGGUAGAAUUCCACGUGUAGCAGUGAAAUGCGUAGAGAUGUGGAGGAAUACCGAUGGCGAAGGCAGCCCCCUGGGCCAAUACUGACGCUCAUGCACGAAAGCGUGGGGAGCAAAACAGGAUUAGAUACCCUGGUAGUCCACGCCCUAAAACGAUGUCAACUAGUUGUUGGGGAUUCAUUUCCUUAGUAACGUAGCUAACGCGUGAAGUUGACCGCCUGGGGAGUACGGUCGCAAGAUUAAAACUCAAAGGAAUUGACGGGGUCAUAGCU